RNAcentral lists this long non-coding RNA (355 nucleotides) under Musa acuminata (dwarf banana). Its description in RNAcentral is "long non-coding RNA (MACU_LNC002322)". The record is from RNAcentral. Lineage: Eukaryota; Viridiplantae; Streptophyta; Magnoliopsida; Zingiberales; Musaceae.
CCUGAAUGUUCCUUCUUAGUUCUUCAUGAACCUUUCUUCUUUUUGUUGUGCUCAGUGUCGGAGUUGGGGCCUGAGGACACCGGUCGGAAAAUAGUCGAGAUCAUAUUCCAAUCGAGUUGGCUCAAGAAAAGAACACCAGCUUGCAGAAUAGAGAGGAUCCUCAAAGUCCACAACACUUCCAAGACGAUGGCGAGGUUCGAGGAUUACCGGGACUCCAUAAAGAGCAAAGCCAGCAAGCUCGCGAAGAGGCAUCCGAGAUCCACCGCCGACGGCAACGAGCUCUUGAGGUUUCACUGCACAACCUUCAGGUGCACCCUCGGCUUGAACGGAGCCACCAACCUGUGCGACUCGAUUC